RNAcentral lists this ribosomal RNA (253 nucleotides) under uncultured prokaryote. RNAcentral's name for it is "partial 16S ribosomal RNA". It matches the Rfam family "Bacterial small subunit ribosomal RNA", at positions 525 to 777 of the family's 1533-position model. The record is from RNAcentral.
ACGGAGGAUGCAAGCGUUAUCCGGAAUUAUUGGGCGUAAAGCGUCCGCGGGUGGCUGUUCAAGUCUGCUGUCAAAUUCCAGGGCUCAACCCUGGUUCGGCAGUGGAAACUGGAUAGCUAGAGUACGGUAGGGGCAGAGGGAAUUCCUGGUGUAGCGGUGAAAUGCGUAGAUAUCAGGAAGAACACCGGUGGCGAAAGCGGGUUGCUGGGCCGACACUGACGCUGAGGCGCGAAAGCCAGGGGAGCGAACGGGA